This 484-nucleotide ribosomal RNA is filed under the name uncultured bacterium. RNAcentral's name for it is "partial 16S ribosomal RNA". It matches the Rfam family "Bacterial small subunit ribosomal RNA", at positions 30 to 507 of the family's 1533-position model. The record is from RNAcentral.
AUUGAACGCUGGCGGCAGGCCUAACACAUGCAAGUCGAGCGGAUGAAGGGAGCUUGCUCCUGGAUUCAGCGGCGGACGGGUGAGUAAUGCCUAGGAAUCUGCCUGGUAGUGGGGGAUAACGUCCGGAAACGGGCGCUAAUACCGCAUACGUCCUGAGGGAGAAAGUGGGGGAUCUUCGGACCUCACGCUAUCAGAUGAGCCUAGGUCGGAUUAGCUAGUUGGUGGGGUAAAGGCCUACCAAGGCGACGAUCCGUAACUGGUCUGAGAGGAUGAUCAGUCACACUGGAACUGAGACACGGUCCAGACUCCUACGGGAGGCAGCAGUGGGGAAUAUUGGACAAAGGGCGAAAGCCUGAUCCAGCCAUGCCGCGUGUGUGAAGAAGGUCUUCGGAUUGUAAAGAACUUUGAGUUGGGAGGAAGGGCAGUAAGUUAAUACCUUGCUGUUUUGACGUUACCAACAGAAUAAGCACCGGCUAACUUCGUG